AACUAUUCGCUAAAGGGUGUUCGGGAGGCUACGCCGUAAAACAACCCCAUUUCUAAGGUUGACCUCGGAUCAGGUAGGGAUACC
Molecule: ribosomal RNA, 84 nt
Filed under: Cladosporium tenuissimum
Lineage: Eukaryota; Fungi; Ascomycota; Dothideomycetes; Cladosporiales; Cladosporiaceae
Description: partial 28S ribosomal RNA
Source: RNAcentral